AAAUUGAAGAGUUUGAUCAUGGCUCAGAUUGAACGCUGGCGGCAGGCCUAACACAUGCAAGUCGAACGGUAGCACAGAGAGCUUGCUCUCGGGUGACGAGUGGCGGACGGGUGAGUAAUGUCUGGGAAACUGCCCGAUGGAGGGGGAUAACUACUGGAAACGGUAGCUAAUACCGCAUAACGUCGCAAGACCAAAGAGGGGGACCUUCGGGCCUCUUGCCAUCGGAUGUGCCCA
Molecule: ribosomal RNA, 234 nt
Filed under: Citrobacter freundii
Lineage: Bacteria; Pseudomonadati; Pseudomonadota; Gammaproteobacteria; Enterobacterales; Enterobacteriaceae
Also listed under: 1 other name
Description: partial 16S ribosomal RNA
Rfam family: Bacterial small subunit ribosomal RNA
Source: RNAcentral